CCUACGGGAGGCAGCAGUUAGGAAUUUUGGGCAAUGGGCGAAAGCCUGACCCAGCAACGCCGCGUGGGUGACGAAGGCCUUCGGGUUGUAAAGCCCUUUUCUGAGGGAAGAUGAUGACGGUACCUCAGGAAUAAGCACCGGCUAACUACGUGCCAGCAGCCGCGGUAAUACGUAGGGUGCAAGCGUUGCCCGGAUUUAUUGGGCGUAAAGGGCGCGCAGGCGGCUACGCACGUCCGUUGUGAAAUCGCUCGGCUCAACUGGGCGGGGUCAGCGGAUACGGCGUAGCUGGAGCAAGCUAGGGGGCAAUGGAAUUCCCGGUGUAGUGGUGGAAUGCGUAGAUAUCGGGAGGAACACCAGUGGCGAAGGCGGUUGCCUGGAGCUUUGCUGACGCUGAGGCGCGAAAGCGUGGGGAGCGAUCCGGAUUAGAUACCCGGGUAGUCCACGCCGUAAACGAUGUCGACUAGGUGUCGGGGGUAUCGACCCCCUCGGCGCCGCAGCUAACGCAUAGUCGACCGCCUGGGACUACGGCCGCAAGGCUAAACUAAUGAAUUGAGG
This 555-nucleotide ribosomal RNA is filed under the name uncultured bacterium. Its description in RNAcentral is "bacterial SSU rRNA". It matches the Rfam family "Bacterial small subunit ribosomal RNA", at positions 338 to 915 of the family's 1533-position model. The record is from RNAcentral.